UACGGGGGGGGCAAGCGUUGUUCGGAAUUACUGGGCGUAAAGGGCUCGUAGGUGGCCAACUAAGUCAGACGUGAAAUCCCUCGGCUUAACCGGGGAACUGCGUCUGAUACUGGAUGGCUAGAGUUUGGGAGAGGGAUGCGGAAUUCCAGGUGUAGCGGUGAAAUGCGUAGAUAUCUGGAGGAAUACCGGUGGCGAAGGCGGCAUCCUGGACCGACAUUGACGCUGAUGAGCGAAAGCUAGGGGAGCAAACGGG
Molecule: ribosomal RNA, 253 nt
Filed under: uncultured bacterium
Lineage: Bacteria
Description: partial 16S ribosomal RNA
Rfam family: Bacterial small subunit ribosomal RNA
Source: RNAcentral